GCACUUUCUCUCUCAAAAUAAACAAAUAAACUUAAAAAAAAAAAAAAGUAUAUUGAGUUAACUGAGGGCUAUGUAAUACUUGCAGAAUAUUAGAGGCUUGGGACCGUGUAAAAUGAUUUCAGUCAACCACUGCUGUACCCAUAGGAGACUGGAGCACAGAAGAACUGAAUGACGUACCCACUGCAGGUUCCUUGGUCAAGGCUGGAACGACAGCCCGUACGUCUCGACUCUUCGUCUUGGGCUUUCUCCGCUAUAAUCACGCUGCCCCCCUCCUUAGGUCAUAGACUCCUCAACGUUCUUUUAGACACAAGCCGUGGUAACAAUGGCACUAACAACAAAAGACCUGCGUCACACUGGUUGAAACCGAGAAUCCGGUGGCUCACGCAACAACCUAGUCCACAGGCUCUACAGAUGAGCUAAAUGGCUGCCAAGUAAAGUCCUGACGUCACCUGAAGAUCUUGCCCUUCCCCACCCCCCCAACAGGCCUUCCAAAGUUGCACAUUGCAUGCCAUUGGGUCUGAUGGGAUAGGGCACCAUCUUGGAAAUAGUCACCGUGGCCCGAAGGUACUAUUCUUACUAAAUAGGCCUGAAUCCCAUGUCUACCCAGAGUGUAGAGUCUACACCCUUUGAAAGACUUGUCUGAGGGUACACAUCAGGACCAGACAAGAGGGAGGCAGAGGUGCCCAUCUGAACAAGAAUAGCCACUGUGGCCUAAAACGCAAGUUUCUCCUUACCUCGUUUUCUUAGUAAAUUCACCUGCAUCCUCCGCUUU
Molecule: long non-coding RNA, 772 nt
Organism: Herpailurus yagouaroundi (jaguarundi)
Lineage: Eukaryota; Metazoa; Chordata; Mammalia; Carnivora; Felidae
Exons: 2
Source: RefSeq, a predicted model, not a curated record